AGUUAACAAUUGUGAAAGUUCCCUUAUGAAGACCAGGAAAAAAGUUGGGCUAAACGGACAGAACACAAAUUCUCUGGAUUUUGGCAAUGUCUAGAACUUUCUACAUGCUUGGAAAUUCUUCCAAGCUGUUCUGAGGUAGUGUGGGCUUCCAUGAAGACAGAAAGAGAGAAGAAAAUAUUAGGACACAGAGGAAGGAACAUGUGGAGACAUGUGAACAUGAAGAUGACCAUCUACAAGCCAAGGAGAGAGUCUCCAGAAGGAAGCAAUGCUAUCAACACCUUGAUCUCAAACUUGUAACCUCCAGAACUAUAAGGAAAUAAAUUUCUGUUAUUUAAGACA
Long non-coding RNA from Canis lupus familiaris (dog), 339 nucleotides. RefSeq lists it as uncharacterized. Lineage: Eukaryota; Metazoa; Chordata; Mammalia; Carnivora; Canidae. The record is from RefSeq and is a predicted model, not a curated record. The transcript has 3 exons.